AGAGUUUGAUCCUGGCUCACGNUNUUUGCUAGCUACAGGCUUAACACAUGCAGUCGAGGGGACAUGACACGGUAGCUUGCUACUGUGGGCGUCGACCGGCGCACGGGUGUGUAACGCGUAUCCAACCUGGCCUGAGGUAAGGGAUAAUCCGUANAAAUGCGGNCUAAUACCUUAUGUGUUCCGAAGAGGACAUCUGAUUUGGAAUAAAGAUUUAUUGNCUUAGGAUGGGGAUGCGUCNGAUUAGAUAGUUGGCGGGGUAACUGCCCACCAAGUCUCGAUCAGUAGGGGUUCNGAGAGGAAAGUCCCCCACAUUUNAACUGAGACACGGUCCAAACUCCUACGGGAGGCAGCAGUG
RNAcentral lists this ribosomal RNA (355 nucleotides) under uncultured bacterium. Its description in RNAcentral is "partial 16S ribosomal RNA". It matches the Rfam family "Bacterial small subunit ribosomal RNA", at positions 8 to 356 of the family's 1533-position model. The record is from RNAcentral.